Dermacentor silvarum is the source of this 380-nucleotide long non-coding RNA. RefSeq lists it as uncharacterized. The transcript is spliced from 3 exons. NCBI's taxonomy places the organism in Eukaryota, Metazoa, Arthropoda, Arachnida, Ixodida, Ixodidae. The record is from RefSeq and is a predicted model, not a curated record.
AAGACAUAUAGUGCUGGCAGAGCAUUUGACUUUGUUAUUUUACGCCUCACAAUAAAGAAUGUCGCUUGAAAGAGAAGCAAUGUCUGCUUUACUCAAAGCUUGCGUGGUUGCAUUGGCCCUCGUUGCUGCAAAUUCUGUUGCCGAUGAAGAAAAGCCUGCGGAGAAUAUAUUCCAAGAGUUUUGGGCGAGCCAUAACGUUGUGUGGACUUACAACACAUCGGAUAGUCUCUUUGAUGAAUGCAAGCGGCAGGAACGUGUAGGGAAUAAUAUCUCUGGUGUCAUGAUCAAUACCUCGUGGUUAUAUAAAGAAAAAAGGAUAACCUCCGUGCACUACUGGAAAUUUGGUGAAAACGACACGCUUUUGUGCGACACUAAAUGUG